UUAAGUUAUUAAGGGCGCACGGUGGAUGCCUUGGCACUAGAAGCCGAUGAAGGACGUUACUAACGACGAUAUGCUUUGGGGAGCUGUAAGUAAGCUUUGAUCCAGAGAUUUCCGAAUGGGGAAACCCAGCAUGAGUUAUGUCAUGUUAUCGAUAUGUGAAUACAUAGCAUAUCAGAAGGCACACCCGGAGAACUGAAACAUCUUAGUACCCGGAGGAAGAGAAAGAAAAUUCGAUUCCCUUAGUAGCGGCGAGCGAAACGGGAAGAGCCCAAACCAACAAGCUUGCUUGUUGGGGUUGUAGGACACUCUAUACGGAGUUACAAAGGACGACAUUAGACGAAUCAUCUGGAAAGAUGAAUCAAAGAAGGUAAUAAUCCUGUAGUCGAAAAUGUUGUCUCUCUUGAGUGGAUCCUGAGUACGACGGAGCACGUGAAAUUCCGUUGGAAUCUGGGAGGACCAUCUCCUAAGGCUAAAUACUCUCUAGUGACCGAUAGUGAACCAGUACCGUGAGGGAAAGGUGAAAAGCACCCCGGAAGGGGAGUGAAAUAGAACCUGAAACCGUGUGCUUACAAGUAGUCAGAGCCCGUUAAUGGGUGAUGGCGUGCCUUUUGUAGAAUGAACCGGCGAGUUACGAUUUGAUGCAAGGUUAAGCAGUAAAUGUGGAGCCGUAGCGAAAGCGAGUCUGAAUAGGGCGUUUAGUAUUUGGUCGUAGACCCGAAACCAGGUGAUCUACCCUUGGUCAGGUUGAAGUUCAGGUAACACUGAAUGGAGGACCGAACCGACUUACGUUGAAAAGUGAGCGGAUGAACUGAGGGUAGCGGAGAAAUUCCAAUCGAACCUGGAGAUAGCUGGUUCUCUCCGAAAUAGCUUUAGGGCUAGCCUCAAGUGAUGAUUAUUGGAGGUAGAGCACUGUUUGGACGAGGGGCCCCUCUCGGGUUACCGAAUUCAGACAAACUCCGAAUGCCAAUUAAUUUAACUUGGGAGUCAGAACAUGGGUGAUAAGGUCCGUGUUCGAAAGGGAAACAGCCCAGACCACCAGCUAAGGUCCCAAAAUAUAUGUUAAGUGGAAAAGGAUGUGGCGUUGCCCAGACAACUAGGAUGUUGGCUUAGAAGCAGCCAUCAUUUAAAGAGUGCGUAAUAGCUCACUAGUCGAGUGACACUGCGCCGAAAAUGUACCGGGGCUAAACAUAUUACCGAAGCUGUGGAUUGUCCUUUGGACAAUGGUAGGAGAGCGUUCUAAGGGCGUUGAAGCAUGAUCGUAAGGACAUGUGGAGCGCUUAGAAGUGAGAAUGCCGGUGUGAGUAGCGAAAGACGGGUGAGAAUCCCGUCCACCGAUUGACUAAGGUUUCCAGAGGAAGGCUCGUCCGCUCUGGGUUAGUCGGGUCCUAAGCUGAGGCCGACAGGCGUAGGCGAUGGAUAACAGGUUGAUAUUCCUGUACCACCUAUAAUCGUUUUAAUCGAUGGGGGGACGCAGUAGGAUAGGCGAAGCGUGCGAUUGGAUUGCACGUCUAAGCAGUAAGGCUGAGUAUUAGGCAAAUCCGGUACUCAUUAAGGCUGAGCUGUGAUGGGGAGAAGACAUUGUGUCUUCGAGUCGUUGAUUUCACACUGCCGAGAAAAGCCUCUAGAUAGAAAAUAGGUGCCCGUACCGCAAACCGACACAGGUAGUCAAGAUGAGAAUUCUAAGGUGAGCGAGCGAACUCUCGUUAAGGAACUCGGCAAAAUGACCCCGUAACUUCGGGAGAAGGGGUGCUCUUUAGGGUUAACGCCCAGAAGAGCCGCAGUGAAUAGGCCCAAGCGACUGUUUAUCAAAAACACAGGUCUCUGCUAAACCGUAAGGUGAUGUAUAGGGGCUGACGCCUGCCCGGUGCUGGAAGGUUAAGAGGAGUGGUUAGCUUCUGCGAAGCUACGAAUCGAAGCCCCAGUAAACGGCGGCCGUAACUAUAACGGUCCUAAGGUAGCGAAAUUCCUUGUCGGGUAAGUUCCGACCCGCACGAAAGGCGUAACGAUUUGGGCACUGUCUCAACGAGAGACUCGGUGAAAUCAUAGUACCUGU
Molecule: ribosomal RNA, 2053 nt
Filed under: Staphylococcus aureus VET0657S
Lineage: Bacteria; Bacillati; Bacillota; Bacilli; Caryophanales; Staphylococcaceae
Description: bacterial LSU rRNA
Rfam family: Bacterial large subunit ribosomal RNA
Source: RNAcentral